UAGGGAAUCUUCGGCAAUGGGGGGAACCCUGACCGAGCAACGCCGCGUGAGUGAAGAAGGUUUUCGGAUCGUAAAGCUCUGUUGUUAAGGAAGAACGAGUGUGAGAAUGGAAAGUUCAUGCUGUGACGGUACUUAACCAGAAAGGGACGGCUAACUACGUGCCAGCAGCCGCGGUAAUACGUAGGUCCCGAGCGUUGUCCGGAUUUAUUGGGCGUAAAGCGAGCGCAGGCGGUUUUUUAAGUCUGAUGUGAAAGCCCACGGCUCAACCGUGGAGGGUCAUUGGAAACUGGAAAACUUGAGUGCAGAAGAGGAAAGUGGAAUUCCAUGUGUAGCGGUGAAAUGCGCAGAGAUAUGGAGGAACACCAGUGGCGAAGGCGACUUUCUGGUCUGUAACUGACGCUGAUGUGCGAAAGCGUGGGGAUCAAACAGG
This 430-nucleotide ribosomal RNA is filed under the name Bacteroidota bacterium. RNAcentral describes it as "Bacteroidetes bacterium partial 16S ribosomal RNA". It matches the Rfam family "Bacterial small subunit ribosomal RNA", at positions 355 to 776 of the family's 1533-position model. The record is from RNAcentral. Lineage: Bacteria; Pseudomonadati; Bacteroidota.